AUGGCCGCCGCCAAGUUCAUCGGGACGCCGCUGCUUCCCACCGCCCGGACCCGGCCUGGAGUUGCCGCCCUCGGCCGUUUCCCCGCCUUCUCCAGCAACGACGCGACCUCCCUGACCCCGCGCCAAGUUCAUCUUCGAGCCAAGCCGCCCUGGAGAUUCUUCGCUGUCUCGCCAAGUCCCUCUCCUCUCCGACCAGGCCCGUUCCUGUGCCUCUGCCGCACCGCCAUGUUCCUGGAGCCGCGGUGCCCUGCUUGCGUCGAGCCGCCACAUCCGCCGUUGCAGUCUCGCCGCGCUGCGCCCCUGCUUCGUCUCGCUGCGGAUGGAGUAGCGAGCCAGCGCCAAGCGGCCGCCUUCCUCCAUGUCCCCCGCCCGUGUCAUCUGCUUCGAGCGACAGAAUGA
This 399-nucleotide ribosomal RNA is filed under the name Triticum aestivum (bread wheat). RNAcentral's name for it is "partial small subunit ribosomal RNA". The record is from RNAcentral. Lineage: Eukaryota; Viridiplantae; Streptophyta; Magnoliopsida; Poales; Poaceae.